GGUUGUUUGCGUUACAAGCUGUCAUGUGUCAGUAUGAAUAUUUAACUUUGAAACUGCCAAUGGCUCAUUAUAUCAGUUAUAGUUUAUUUGAUGAAGAAUACUAAUUGGAUAACCGUAGUAAUUCUAGAGCUAAUACAUGUAUAAAGUCUUGUAGACUGCAUUUAUUAGAAUGAAAACCAUAGGUUUCGGCCUAUUCGUGAGUAAUAAUAACUAAUCAUAUCGUAUGCUUAUGUAACGAUGUGUCUUUCAAGUUUCUGCCCUAUCAGCUUUCGAUGGUAGUGUAUUGGACUACCAUGGCAGUAACGGGUAACGAAGAAUUUGGGUUCGAUUUCGGAGAGGGAGCCUGAGAGAUGGCUACCACAUCCAAGGAAGGCAGCAGGCGCGUAAAUUACCCAAUCCUGACACAGGGCGGUAGUGACAAUAAAUCACAAUGCGGAACAAUGUUUUGCAAUUGGAUUGAGAACAACGUACAAACCUUAUCGAUAAACAAUUGGAGGGCAAGUCUGGUGCCAGCAGCC
This 518-nucleotide ribosomal RNA is filed under the name Blastocystis sp. subtype 3. RNAcentral describes it as "SSU rRNA". It matches the Rfam family "Eukaryotic small subunit ribosomal RNA", at positions 29 to 575 of the family's 1831-position model. Lineage: Eukaryota; Bigyra; Opalinata; Blastocystidae. The record is from RNAcentral.